AGCAGCCGCGGUAAUUCCAGCUCCAAUAGCGUAUAUUAAAGUUGUUGCAGUUAAAAAGCUCGUAGUUGAAUUUCGGGAUUGGCGCAUCGGUCGUGCCUCACGGGGUAUGAACUGGUGCAGUCAAUUUCUCACCUUCUGGAGAACCGCGAUGUCCUUAAUUGGAUGCCGCGGGGAACCAGGACCUUUACUUUGAAAAAUUAGAGUGUUUAAAGCAGGCAUUUUUGCUUGAAUACAUUAGCAUGGAAUAAUAAAAUAGGACGGCAUGGUUCUAUUUUGUUGGUUUCUAGGACCACCGUAAUGAUUAAUAGGGAUAGUUGGGGGCAUUAGUAUUCAAUUGUCAGAGGUGAAAUUCUUGGAUUUAUUGUAAGACUGACUACUGCGAAAGCAUUUGCCAAGGAUGUUUUCAUUAAUCAAGAACGAAAGUUAGGGGAUCGAAGACGAU
Molecule: ribosomal RNA, 442 nt
Filed under: uncultured Entrophospora
Lineage: Eukaryota; Fungi; Glomeromycota; Glomeromycetes; Entrophosporales; Entrophosporaceae
Description: SSU rRNA
Rfam family: Eukaryotic small subunit ribosomal RNA
Source: RNAcentral